RNAcentral lists this non-coding RNA (89 nucleotides) under unclassified sequences. The record is from RNAcentral.
UAUUAAUUGCCACCGGGUAAUAAAAUGCGAAAGCAUUCGUUGCACAUCAUUAGGUCUUUGAAGAUGUGUACACGAGUGCUUAUUUUGUU